UCAGACCUUCGGUAUUUGGAAGUGAAGAACCUAGCAAGUUAAAGCUAACAGCAUGUCAGUACAUCUUCAUAACCUUAUAGUGAGGAAUUGAGACUAGAUCUCUCCCUUCCUCCCUUUCUCUUUGAAGAAGGGUGAGUGAUGCAUGUAUGAGAAGUUCUGCUGCAAAAAUGACAGAGGCCAAAUGGUAAGUAAUUCAAGAAGAGGGUCCCUUUAUGUACACACUGAUAAUUAAUGUUGUCAGUGAUUGCUUUCUUCAGCACUGAAGUCUGAAUUAAAAAAGGCAGUGCCCUUAGGUUCCCAUUAGCACACUCUCUUGCAGUAAGUGUUACGGUAAAUUGGUAUUUUCCAGCUAUAGGCAAAGAGUUGGUGUCUUUGCUUCUUCCCAUCCUCCCCUCAGUGUGAUUAAUCUGUAAUGGAGUCAAAUAAUGUACACACACUAACGAAGCUUGAAUGUUCAUCUGUUAACAAGCCCCCUUGUUCCCACAGUGGUAUUUGAGUCUAAUGGACUCCGAGGUACUGAAGUUCACACCACCUCCGCAGAUGCCCCAAAACAAGUGAGAGACCAUUCCAAUGCAGAUAUUGUCCGUACAGUGCCUCUCAGAAAGGGAACCUAAAAACGCAUGUCCAGUGUGUACAUCGGGUCCCCUUUGACAACAGCCAGUACCCUGACCUACGGUUCCCAUCACCUCCAAAUAAUUACUCCAUCAACCCUUUAGAAGGCCAGCUGGAAAACAUCUUUACAAUCUCUCCAGUCCCUGGAGCAACUGUGUUAUAGCGAAGACUCCGGCUCCGUGCUUUGCUAGAAGAGUGAUGUCUCUGAACUGUUAAUCAUUUUAAAAUAAAUGAAGACCCUACCCAAGAUAUAUACAAAUUGACAUAGUAAUCAGUCCCCACAGUUCCUUAUUUCCUUUGUAAUAAACAGAAGAGCUGGCAAGCUUUGGGGUAGUGCAAAGCAUAUAUAUUAAUCAAGAUAACAUUUUUUUUUUUAGACACUGGAAAAAAUUAAACGUCAUAUAUUUGGAGGAUGGCACUGCAACCAAAUCUUCCCUCGUGGUGGGUUUGAAGUUUUAUUUUUUAUUUAAAAGGAAACACACACCCAGGGUGGAUUUGGGAAAUGCGGGAAGGAGUGAUUAAGCAACUGUCACGCAACUUUGAAAACAAAAAACAAAAAGGAGGAAGGAAGGAAGGAGUCGUUCAGUGCUGUAUAAGCCAAACUUGAUGAAGGACAGAAGGGACAAAAGGGAGAGACCAUCAUUCUGCAGUGAGGUUGUUUCAUGAUAGUUUGGGGACCACUUCCAUUUCCAGUGGGCUGAUCCUUGACUGCACACCAUUAAUAGUACAUGAAUAUGGAAAUUGAAAACACUUCUUAAGAAAUGCUUCUCUUCUCACUUUGGCAAGAAGAAGAAAAAAAACAGCUGGUCAAACACUAAGAAGAAAAAGAAAAAAAAGGCUUCUGUGUGUGUGGUUUUUUUUUUUUUUUUUGCUCCCCCUCUCAGGGCCUUCCUGUUUGUUUAAUCUGCUUUUUCUUUCUUUUAAAAUGCAGUUUUCCAUGAUCUAUCACAAAGGAAGUAUGCAUGCUUUUAAAAAUUAGAUUAAAAAGGGGGGGACCCCUCCCAGCUUUUUAAAGCUGCUGAUUGAUACACUUAUAAUACAUUUUAAAAACAGAUGUUUAGGCAUACUUCUGGUUUUACGAUACUGGAGAUGACUGCAUUUCUGUGCAGCAAGACCAAGUACCUUUCAUGGACCCUUCUAACCUUUUUUUUGCCGGGGGGGGGGUGUUCUCUUCUUUGUGAUGGCAAGCUUCCCUAAUCUAGUGUUUUCUAGAUGAGCUGGAAUUUCCCAGAAGAUUCUAGAAAGCCUGGCUGUUGGCCAUGGAUGGCUUGGACUUCUGGGAAGUGCAAACUCAGCAAGUUUGAUGGCACAGGGUGAUUCGGCAUGGUAGUCACUGGAGUAGCUGGGGGAGAAAAGGCGCUUUAUAUACCUCUUCUACAGUAACUUUUUAAAAUGCAAGUUUUUAAAGGUAAGAGAAGCAGCAGGUUGUUCACACAGGGUCUUGUUCAAAAGUAUAUCCCACAUGUACUUUUUCCUUCUCUUGCUAUGACACUGUGUGACGGUAAUAAUUCAGAAUUUCAGAUUUUGCACAUAAACAAUUUUAUGCAUCAUCAUCGUCAUCAUCAAGAAAAAAAAAUGCUGCCUUGAACAUAUUUGUGAAUGUUUUUCUUUUGCAAAAAAAAAAAAAGCUUUACUAGUUUUUUUUUAAUUGUAACAUUUUUGUAAAGGCAGGAAAUGGAUUUUUAAAGAAAACUAGCAUGCUAAUUAUAUUUUUCAAAAAAAGCAAUAAUUUUACAUGUACAGAAAUAGCACUAAUCUUUUAAUACUGAUGGAGAGCAACCAUUUACUUCUACAAUAAUGGGAUAGUGCUUUUUUCUCUCUAGAAGACGGGGUUACUCAAAAGAUUUUUUUAAUAUGUAUUUUUUUUUUCCUAUUCUGAUUUUGUGUUGUCUAUAUUUGAAUUGGGAUUCUACUUGUUGCAAGUUACUUGACUGUUCUUGCUUUGCUGUUAACUAUAAUGCAGUUGUAAUAUUCGUAUAUAAUUUGCCAGUUUGGAAUUUUUAUUUUAUUUUAUUCCUCAUACUUCUGCACCAGCUGUAAGCCAGCUGUAACUCUGGAUUAGUAUAAAAUGUCUGUGCAGAUGUUGUGUAACUGAUUAAUCUGUUUUGAAGUUACCUUGCAGAAAUUCACACAGACAUAUUCCAGACCUCCCUUUUUCUGUCUCCUGCAUCACACUUCAUCCUCAUUUCCUUCAUAUCAUCUAUUUUUAUGAAUCAGAUGACACCAAAAUAUCCCUAACUGGUCAAUUAGGGAUCCAUAAUCAAGUGCUACAUUUUCCUCCUUCAAUCACUUAUUUUUGCUUAUUUUAAGUAAACAAGUGAGGAUUCAGGAAUGCCUGCAGGUAAUUUCUUUGUCCAAAAUUCUGUGUAUCCACGCCCACCCUAUUAUUUGAGUGUCCCAUACAACUAUCACAAUCUUCGUUGCUUGAUUUAUGUGUGUAUUUUAUUUUUGAAUCAUGCUUGGUGAGUGGUGUCUUUGAUUUCAUUAAUUCUUUAUUUUUAAUAAUAUUUUUUGUCUUUGCGAACUGAUCUAGAAGGAUCUUAGUUAUUAUUUAGAGUUUCAGAGCUUUUCCUGAAGAUUGUCUGACACACAAAGAGGAAAGGACUGUCAUUGCCAUUACUAGGGUACUAAUCAGCAAAGUUUACAAUCAUCAUUUAGCUUCACGAAGAACAACAGCAGGGGAAAUCAGUUUAAAUAAUUAUAUGCUGUGUAUAGCACAGAAAUGAGAUUUUCACUUAAUUAAACAAGAAAUGGGGAGGGAGAAGGGGAGCUGUCAUUAAAGACCACCAUAUUACGUGUGAAUUCCAAGCUUUGUAAUUUUCCUCGUUUCUCAUCCAUAUUGUAUCAAUUUGUUAAUUCAGUUAGAUCCUAGUGUUUAGUAUGAUUUGUGCUCCUUAUUUAUUUAGCUAUUUGGGUUUAAAGUAGCUUUUUUUUUUUUGAAAAAAAAAAGAGGAAACAUGAUAAUUUUGUAGCAUGACACAUUUUUGUAAGCCAUCUUCUGACUGUUACAGCGACUCUGCUACCUCUGUCAAUCUGUUUCUUUUCCUUAACAGGUUUUCUACAGUGUUUCAGUCUAAUGUACCUUAGACAAUAAAGGUUCCAUAAUGAGCAGUGCAGAUGGUGUCUGAGA
Thamnophis sirtalis is the source of this 3742-nucleotide non-coding RNA. NCBI's taxonomy places the organism in Eukaryota, Metazoa, Chordata, Lepidosauria, Squamata, Natricidae. The record is from RefSeq and is a predicted model, not a curated record.